This 254-nucleotide ribosomal RNA is filed under the name uncultured bacterium. RNAcentral's name for it is "partial 16S ribosomal RNA". It matches the Rfam family "Bacterial small subunit ribosomal RNA", at positions 524 to 776 of the family's 1533-position model. The record is from RNAcentral.
UACGUAGGGGGCAAGCGUUGUCCGGAUUUAUUGGGCGUAAAGAGCUCGUAGGCGGUUGGGCAAGUCACGUGUGAAAUCUCCACGCUCAACGUGGAGGCGCCACGUGAGACUGCCCUGACUCGAGUCCGGUAGGGGAGCGUGGAAUUCCCGGUGUAGCGGUGAAAUGCGCAGAGAUCGGGAGGAACACCCGUAGCGAAGGCGGCGCUCUGGGCUGGUACUGACGCUGAGGAGCGAAAGCGUGGGGAGCAAACAGG